UUCUAGAGCUAAUACAUGCAGCAAGCCUUGACCCUUACGGGCAAGGCGCAGUUAUUAGAUCAAAAACCAAUCGGUUGUACUUUCGGGUGCAGCCGUUACUUUGGUGACUCUGAGUAACCACAGCGAACCGUAUGGCCUCGUGCUCGACGGUCUGUCAGUCAAGCAACUGCCUUAUCAGCUUGUUGUUAGGUUAUAUGCCUAACAAGGCUUCAACGGGUAACGAACGAUCGGGGUCGGAUAUCGGAGAGGGAGCUUGAGAAACGGCUACCACUUCCAAGGAAGGCAGCAGGCGCGCAAAUUACCCACUCUCGGCAUGAGGAGGUAGCGAUAAAAUGUAUCGAUGCGGGGCCUUUAGUGCCUUCGUAAUCGGAAUGAGUACACUUUAAAUCCUAUAACGAGGACCUAUUGGAGGGCAAGUCUGGUGCCAGCAGCCGCGGUAAUUCCAGCUCCAAUAGCGUAUAUUAAUGCUGCUGCGGUUAAAAAGCUCGUAGUCGGAUCUGGGUUACCGGCGGGUACCGCAUGUUGCUUCAUGCAGCAUGUCGUGUACUAUACGUGUCGCUUCGGCGGCACUGCCAGUGUAAUGCUGUCUCGUGUAGGCACGUUAUGCUGGUCGCCGGAACCACGGGCCGGGUUGAGCAGCAUGCUCUUAAUUGAGUGUGUUGUUUACUCGGUGCGUUUACUUUGAAAAAAUUGGAGUGCUCAAAGCAAGCGUACAGUCGCUAUGCGGCUUGAACAGUGGUGCAUGGAAUAAUGGAAUAGGGCCUCGGUUCUAUUUUGUUGGUUUUAAGAUAUCGAGGUAAUGAUUAAGAGGGACAGACGGGGACGUUUGUAUUGCGACGUUAGAGGUGAAAUUCUUGGAUCGUCGCAAGACACACUAA
RNAcentral lists this ribosomal RNA (878 nucleotides) under Nebularmis crebraclava. Its description in RNAcentral is "SSU rRNA". It matches the Rfam family "Eukaryotic small subunit ribosomal RNA", at positions 156 to 943 of the family's 1831-position model. Lineage: Eukaryota; Metazoa; Tardigrada; Heterotardigrada; Echiniscoidea; Echiniscidae. The record is from RNAcentral.